This 234-nucleotide ribosomal RNA is filed under the name uncultured bacterium. Its description in RNAcentral is "partial 16S ribosomal RNA". It matches the Rfam family "Bacterial small subunit ribosomal RNA", at positions 543 to 776 of the family's 1533-position model. The record is from RNAcentral.
GUUCGGAAUUACUGGGCGUAAAGGGCGCGUAGGCGGCCUUCUAAGUCGAACGUGAAAUCCCUGGGCUCAACCCAGGAACUGCGUCCGAUACUGGAAGGCUUGAAUCCGGGAGAGGGAUGCGGAAUUCCAGGUGUAGCGGUGAAAUGCGUAGAUAUCUGGAGGAACACCGGUGGCGAAGGCGGCAUCCUGGACCGGUAUUGACGCUGAGGCGCGAAAGCCAGGGGAGCAAACGGG